GCUCACCCCUGUAAUGAGCCGCUCCGUUCUCUGCAAAGACCUCACAGAACUGAGCAGAAAUGUGCAUUGGUGUUUUUCAUUCGUGACCUCAGGCGUCCUCACAAACACGGGCAGGACUGUGCUGCAGAGCACAGAGCAAAGUUUUCCAGGGCAGGAGCUGUGGAAAGAGGCCCAGGACAGAAUCUCAGAUGUGUGAGCAGCCCUUCCAGGACACACAAGAUCCAGCUGGAGGUUUUGCUUAUGUCAGUUUGCUUUUUGGAGGUCUCCCAUGGCACACAGACCUCCAAAUCACAAGGGGAUGAGAAGGGAAGGCUCCACCUCCAUCCCCUCUCUGCUCUCUCAACCAGCAUCAAAUUCCAUCUGCUGCACUGGAGCCACCCGUGGUCAUAAUAGGGUUUCAGGGAGUGUUGCUUUGUGUCCUGGUGAUGCUCCAUCAGAGCUGCUCCGAGGAGACGCUCUGGCUGACACGCAGCUCCAGCCUUGGCUCCUGACACAGAAACAUUCCUGCCAAAUGCCUGGCCACUGAGUUCCUGCUCCCCAGCGCCAGCGACUCGCUCUUUGCAAGGUUGCCGUGCAUAAAGGAAAGGACACGAGAGGCUCUAGGACUCCU
Molecule: long non-coding RNA, 610 nt
Organism: Neopelma chrysocephalum (saffron-crested tyrant-manakin)
Lineage: Eukaryota; Metazoa; Chordata; Aves; Passeriformes; Pipridae
Exons: 5
Source: RefSeq, a predicted model, not a curated record